GACGAACGCUGGCGGCGUGCUUAACACAUGCAAGUCGAACGGAAAGGCCCUGCUUUUGUGGGGUGCUCGAGUGGCGAACGGGUGAGUAACACGUGAGUAACCUGCCCUUGACUUUGGGAUAACUUCAGGAAACUGGGGCUAAUACCGUAUAGGAGCUCCUGCUGCAUGGUGGGGGUUGGAAAGUUUCGGCGGUUGGGGAUGGACUCGCGGCUUAUCAGCUUGUUGGUGGGGUAGUGGCUUACCAAGGCUAUGACGGGUAGCCGGCCUGAGAGGGUGACCGGCCACAGUGGGACUGAGAUACGGACCAGACUCCUACGGGAGGCAGCAGUGGGGAAUAUUGCACAAUGGGCGGAAGCCUGAUGCAGAAACGCCGCGUGCGGGAUGACGGCCUUCGGGUUGUAAACCGCUUUCGCCUGUGACGAAGCGUGAGUGACGGUAAUGGGUAAAGAAGCACCGGCUAACUACGUG
RNAcentral lists this ribosomal RNA (468 nucleotides) under uncultured bacterium. RNAcentral's name for it is "partial 16S ribosomal RNA". It matches the Rfam family "Bacterial small subunit ribosomal RNA", at positions 28 to 507 of the family's 1533-position model. The record is from RNAcentral.